GAGGUUUAAAUGAGGUCGUGU
Molecule: non-coding RNA, 21 nt
Filed under: Rattus norvegicus (Norway rat)
Lineage: Eukaryota; Metazoa; Chordata; Mammalia; Rodentia; Muridae
Source: RNAcentral